AGUGAACGCUGGCGGUAGGCCUAACACAUGCAAGUCGAACGGCAGCACAGUAAGAGCUUGCUCUUACGGGUGGCGAGUGGCGGACGGGUGAGGAAUACAUCGGAAUCUACUUUUUCGUGGGGGAUAACGUAGGGAAACUUACGCUAAUACCGCAUACGACCUACGGGUGAAAGCAGGGGAUCUUCGGACCUUGCGCGAUUGAAUGAGCCGAUGUCGGAUUAGCUAGUUGGCGGGGUAAAGGCCCACCAAGGCGACGAUCCGUAGCUGGUCUGAGAGGAUGAUCAGCCACACUGGAACUGAGACACGGUCCAGAGUCCGACGGGAGGCAGCAGUGGGGAAUAUAGGACAAUGGGCGCAAGCCUGAUCCAGCCAUACCGCGUGGGUGAAGAAGGCCCUCGGGUUGUAAAGCCCUUUUGUUGGGAAAGAAAAGCAGCAGGUUAAUACCCCGCUGUUCUGACGGUACCCAAAGAAUAAGCACCGGCGAACUUCGU
RNAcentral lists this ribosomal RNA (491 nucleotides) under uncultured bacterium. RNAcentral's name for it is "partial 16S ribosomal RNA". It matches the Rfam family "Bacterial small subunit ribosomal RNA", at positions 29 to 506 of the family's 1533-position model. The record is from RNAcentral.